CUGCUGCCUUCCGUAGGAGUCUGGUCCGUGUCUCAGUACCAGUGUGGGGGGCCUUCCUCUCAGAACCCCUACGCAUCGUCGCCUCGGCGGGCCGUUACCCCGCCGACUAGCUAAUGCGCCGCAUGCCCAUCCCCCGCCGGAAUCGCUUCCUUUGGCCGCAGACCCAUGCAGGUCCGCCGCGUUACGCGGUAUUAGUCGGGAUUUCUCCCGGUUAUCCCCCUGCGGGGGGCAGGUCGCAUACGUGUUACUCACCCGUGCGCCGGUCGCCGG
Molecule: ribosomal RNA, 270 nt
Filed under: uncultured bacterium
Lineage: Bacteria
Description: partial 16S ribosomal RNA
Source: RNAcentral